Long non-coding RNA from Equus asinus (donkey), 2603 nucleotides. The record is from Ensembl. NCBI's taxonomy places the organism in Eukaryota, Metazoa, Chordata, Mammalia, Perissodactyla, Equidae.
CGGGGAGAGAGACAUAGAGACACGUUUGAUGACUCCCUUUGCAUUCCAGAGCAUUGGCAUUCCACACCCCAGAAGUGCUGCAGCUUCUAUUUGUGUCUCUCUCCCCCCCCCCUGGUAUCUGGUGGACCAGGGCAGCUAUGUAUAUAUAUAACGACCCACUCCCUCCCCCACCUAGGCUAUAGAUGAUGGGAGCAGGAGUGGGCAUUUGACCCAUCCUGAGCAAAUCAGAUUCUCACACUAGACAAUCUGAAUAGAGAGGCAGAUGCCAAAGUCAGGAUGGUGUUGGGAAAUGAAACAAUGGGUCACUUGGAGUUGGGGUCAAGGUCAGAGCCAUGAACACUGAGGCCACAGCCGAGGCUUGACCCUGGCUGUGGGGGAGCAGAACCGUGUGCUUUACAGAGGCCAAGUGCUUUUAGAGGAUGACAUUAUGAGGUCCCAGGGAGCACACGGGCACAGAGAAGCAGAGAGGAGUUGAUCCUGUGACACCAGAGAUGGAGAGAGUGACGGCCUGGCCAUGUUUCCACUUUCUAAAAUUGUGCUUUGUGAAAAGCCACUUUACACAGAUCCCCUUUUCUUGAAGCUAAGUUGAGCGGGUUCCUGUUCUGGGCAACCAGAUUAUUUCCAAGACAGAAAUUGGCACCAGAAGAACAGUUGAAAACCCCAGACCAUCAAAGAAAAUGUUGGACCUGGCUGGGGAGGUCCUCAGGGUGUGCCAGGUAGUGGGGAUUCCUGGAUCCCCAGAGUCUCCAGGAAUGAACUAGACAGGAAGCUCUUUCAUGUUCUCAGCAACUUAUAUCACAAGAAACAAUCAAAACAGGCCUGGGGCAAACCGGGUUUACACCACAGCAGAGAUCUGCCACCUCUAAGGGAAUCCCUCAGGGCUGCAUACAGAAGAUGCCAGCACCAGCUGCAGGCGAGGACUGCUAUGGCUCUUCAGCCCCAUGACAGGAGAAGCCUCCCCAGUGCCCAGGGAGCAGAACUGGGGACAGUCACAUCUGAUCAAGGAACUCACGCCACAGCCAAGGAGGUGGCAGGAUGGUGAGGAUUCACACCUGGACCAGACUGAGAUAACUAGAGGAGCCCUGGACAUUGCCUGGAGACUGAGGACCUAGGAACUGAAGCUGACAUAGACCUGGGACAUCUCUGCAGUGGCUGGAUGUGACCUUGGGCUCUCUCCUGUUGGGGCAGGUGUGGACAAACAUCAGGAUGGUUGCCAUUGCCCAAAAGCCCCUACUACUCCCACCCCGACCUUCUGUCCUCAUUCACUCUCCAGUGCUUUGUCUGAGGGACACACAGGCAAGAUCCCUAACCUGUACUUGUCAGAAGUGUUCUUGGGCUCAUUUCUACCAUUCUAGAGCCAGGUUUCCCAAACCCAGAACUCUUGACACUUGAGGUUGGAUAAUUGUUGCAGGGGGCUGUCCAGUACACUGUAGGACGUUCAGCAGAACCCUGGCCUCAGAACCCAGUAGAGGCCAGGAGCACAUCGCCCCCUAACUGUGACAACCAAAAUUAUCUCCAGAUAUUGUCACAUGCCCACUGGAGAGCAAAAUCGUCCCUGAUUGGGAACCAUGGAGGCAAUGAGGCAUGUAGCGGUAGUCAGAAAAGAGGGAAGAGAGUUGCAAGGGGAGUGUGCUCAGCUGUGCCCAGGGCUGCAGGGGGGCCCCUAAGAUAGGAGGUGAAAAGUGCCCACUGGGUCUGGUGUUCACUUUCGAUCUUUGAGCAGGUCUGGGUACAGGAAGGGCAGAAGGCAAACUGCAAGGACGUGAGGAUGUGCACUCAGUGAGGGAGGCUUUCCUUCAAGGACUUCUGGCUGCGGAGGGAAGGAGUGAGGUGGGAUACAUGGUUGAGAGAGGGUUCUUUUGAAUAUGGGAGAAACUUCAGCCGUGGGGAAGGAGAUAGCUGAAGAAAGCUUGAAAACGCAAGAAAUAUGUAAAAGAAUGAGGUAGAUCCUGCAGACUGUACUGGAGGCACGUCCAUGGUACUGUUCAAUGAAAAAGAUGUCCUAUGACAGGAUCCCUUUUGUUUUUUGUAAAAUAAAAUACCCCCUAUAAUUCUGUAAGUGUGUAUAUGUAUGGUAUGUAGAUAUAUAGGUUUAUGUUUGCUUUAUAUUACGGAUCUAAAGUUGAGUAAGAUAGAAAAGGUGAGGAAAACCUUUUUUUCCUUCAGAAAAAUGAAGUAGGGUAGGAGCAGUAAGAUAGAGGGCUUUUGCUUCUUUAUAUACUUCUGUGUUGUGAAAGCAAAAUAAUUAAAUGUUCACAAAUAUACAAAAAGGAAAAGGAAGUUAAUUUACUGACUUGGCUAGGUUUGGAAAGGCCACCUCUUCCUCUAUGACAAAGGAGGGGAGAGCAGAGACUGAUCUGUGUUACAAGGGGGUGGGAAGACAAGAGGGCUCCUGCCUGUUUGUCCCUUAGACAAAGCACCUGAGAGUGAAUGAGGACAGCAGGUCUGGGUAGGGCUGUGGGCUUUUGGGCAAUGGCAGAUUUAGGAAUAACUGGGGGUGGAGAGUCAGGGAGGGGAAGGAAAGGCUCAUCAAGCUGCACAGAGGACUCCAUUGUCCAUUGGGAUAGGGUUCAACUGAAAGAAAGCCAAAGGGUAAAGCAGUG